This 319-nucleotide ribosomal RNA is filed under the name uncultured Bacteroidota bacterium. RNAcentral describes it as "bacterial SSU rRNA". It matches the Rfam family "Bacterial small subunit ribosomal RNA", at positions 476 to 794 of the family's 1533-position model. Lineage: Bacteria; Pseudomonadati; Bacteroidota. RNAcentral also lists the same sequence under 1 other name. The record is from RNAcentral.
UACUGUAUGAAUAAGCACCGGCUAACUCCGUGCCAGCAGCCGCGGUAAUACGGAGGGUGCAAGCGUUGUCCGGAUUUAUUGGGUUUAAAGGGUGCGCAGGUGGUUUAUUAAGUCAGUGGUGAAAGACGGUCGCUCAACGAUUGCAGUGCCAUUGAAACUGGUAGACUUGAGUAAAGUAGAGGUGGGCGGAAUUGAUAGUGUAGCGGUGAAAUGCAUAGAUAUUAUCAAGAACUCCAAUUGCGUAGGCAGCUCACUUGGCUUUUACUGACACUCAUGCACGAAAGUGUGGGUAUCAAACAGGAUUAGAUACCCUGGUAGU